UACGGAGGGUGCAAGCGUUAUCCGGAUUUACUGGGUUUAAAGGGUGCGUAGGCGGACAGGUAAGUCAGUGGUGAAAACCCCGAGUUCAACUUGGGAACUGCCGUUGAUACUAUCUGUCUUGAAUACCGUGGAGGUGAGCGGAAUAUGUCAUGUAGCGGUGAAAUGCUUAGAUAUGACAUAGAACACCGAUUGCGAAGGCAGCUCACUACGCGGUCAUUGACGCUGAGGCACGAAAGCGUGGGGAGCAAACAGG
Molecule: ribosomal RNA, 253 nt
Filed under: uncultured bacterium
Lineage: Bacteria
Description: partial 16S ribosomal RNA
Rfam family: Bacterial small subunit ribosomal RNA
Source: RNAcentral